RNAcentral lists this ribosomal RNA (253 nucleotides) under uncultured bacterium. Its description in RNAcentral is "partial 16S ribosomal RNA". It matches the Rfam family "Bacterial small subunit ribosomal RNA", at positions 524 to 776 of the family's 1533-position model. The record is from RNAcentral.
UACGUAGGGGGCAAGCGUUGUCCGGAUUUAUUGGGCGUAAAGAGCGUGUAGGCGGCCAUGCAGGUCCGUUGUGAAAACUCGAGGCUCAACCUCGAGACGCCGAUGGAAACCGCAUGGCUAGAGUCCGGAAGAGGAGAGUGGAAUUCCUGGUGUAGCGGUGAAAUGCGCAGAUAUCAGGAAGAACACCCGUGGCUAAGGCGGCUCUCUAGUACGGUACUGACGCUGAGACGCGAAAGCGUGGGGAGCGAACAGG